AUCCAACGCGUUGGGAGCUCUCCCAUAUGGUCGACCUGCAGGCGGCCGCGAAUUCACUAGUGAUUAGAGUUUGAUCCUGGCUCAGAUUGAACGCUGGCGGCAGGCCUAACACAUGCAAGUCGAGCGGUAGAGAGAAGCUUGCUUCUCUUGAGAGCGGCGGACGGGUGAGUAAUGCCUAGGAAUCUGCCUGGUAGUGGGGGAUAACGUUCGGAAACGGACGCUAAUACCGCAUACGUCCUACGGGAGAAAGCAGGGGACCUUCGGGCCUUGCGCUAUCAGAUGAGCCUAGGUCGGAUUAGCUAGUUGGUGGGGUAAUGGCUCACCAAGGCGACGAUCCGUAACUGGUCUGAGAGGAUGAUCAGUCACACUGGAACUGAGACACGGUCCAGACUCCUACGGGAGGCAGCAGUGGGGAAUAUUGGACAAUGGGCGAAAGCCUGAUCCAGCCAUGCCGCGUGUGUGAAGAAGGUCUUCGGAUUGUAAAGCACUUUAAGUUGGGAGGAAGGGCAGUAA
Molecule: ribosomal RNA, 513 nt
Filed under: uncultured Gammaproteobacteria bacterium
Lineage: Bacteria; Pseudomonadati; Pseudomonadota; Gammaproteobacteria
Description: bacterial SSU rRNA
Rfam family: Bacterial small subunit ribosomal RNA (bases 59-513)
Source: RNAcentral